Molecule: ribosomal RNA, 465 nt
Filed under: uncultured bacterium
Lineage: Bacteria
Description: partial 16S ribosomal RNA
Rfam family: Bacterial small subunit ribosomal RNA
Source: RNAcentral
GACGAACGCUGGCGGCGUGCUUAACACAUGCAAGUCGUACGGUAAGGCCCUUUCGGGGUUACACGAGUGGCGAACGGGUGAGUAACACGUGAGUAACCUGCCCACAACUUUGGGAUAACGCUCGGAAACUGGUUCGAAUACUGGAUAUGUGCUCCUGCUGCAUGGUUGGGGUUGGAAAGCUCCGGCGGUUGUGGAUGGACUCGCGGCCUAUCAGCUUGUUGGUGGGGUAGUGGCCUACCAAGGCGGCGGCGGGUAGCCGGCCUGGGGGGGUGAGCGGCCACAUUGGGACUGAGAUACGGCCCAGACUCCCACGGGAGGCAGCAGUGGGGAAUAUUGCCCAAUGGGCGCGAGCCCGAUGCAGCAACGCCGCGUGCGGGAUGACGGGCUUCGGGUUGUAAACCGCUUUCAGCAGGGACGAAGCUUUUUGUGACGGUACCUGCAGAAGAAGCACCGGCUAACUACGUG